This 45-nucleotide non-coding RNA is filed under the name Schistosoma haematobium. The record is from RNAcentral. Lineage: Eukaryota; Metazoa; Platyhelminthes; Trematoda; Strigeidida; Schistosomatidae.
AUCCAGAUGACGAAUCGGAAAUAGGAUGAAACCUGCGUGCUGGAU